CCUACGGGGGGCUGCAGUGAGGAAUAUUGGUCAAUGGACGAGAGUCUGAACCAGCCAAGUAGCGUGAAGGAUGAAGGUCCUACGGAUUGUAAACUUCUUUUAUAAGGGAAUAAACCCUCCCACGUGUGGGAGCUUGUAUGUACCUUAUGAAUAAGCAUCGGCUAACUCCGUGCCAGCAGCCGCGGUAAUACGGAGGAUGCGAGCGUUAUCCGGAUUUAUUGGGUUUAAAGGGAGCGCAGACGGGAGAUUAAGUCAGUUGUGAAAGUUUGCGGCUCAACCGUAAAAUUGCAGUUGAUACUGGUUUCCUUGAGUGCAGUUGAGGCAGGCGGAAUUCGUGGUGUAGCGGUGAAAUGCUUAGAUAUCACGAAGAACCCCGAUUGCGAAGGCAGCACACUAAUCCGUAACUGACGUUCAUGCUCGAAAG
This 424-nucleotide ribosomal RNA is filed under the name uncultured Clostridium sp. Its description in RNAcentral is "bacterial SSU rRNA". It matches the Rfam family "Bacterial small subunit ribosomal RNA", at positions 338 to 759 of the family's 1533-position model. Lineage: Bacteria; Bacillati; Bacillota; Clostridia; Eubacteriales; Clostridiaceae. The record is from RNAcentral.